CGGAAGCUGAACGGACGACGGGAGGUGGCGUGGAUGAGCAGCAGCCACCUGAGAAGUGAGGAAACCCGCGGACAGCGCGAUGGAGCCUCACACUGUUGCCCAGGCUGGAGUGCCAUGGCGCAAUCUCAGCUCACUGCAACCUCUGCUUCCCAGGUUCAAGCGAUUCUCCUGCCUGAGCCUCCCAAAUAGCUGGGUCUACAGAAACAUGAACACAGCCCUGAUCAAGCGGAACCGAUACACUCCCGAAACAGGCAGAAAAUCCGACACACACUUGCAACACCAGCCAGCAAAGCUGCACUCACAGUGUCAGAGGACUGGAGGUGGCUGGGAGAACUGGGAGUAAACGACGGGGCACAUGUCCAGCCUUCCUGAGUUCCAGCGCCCUGAAUUAACCCAGCAGCACACCCAUGGGGAGAUGGGCACUUUUGUAUGUGACACGGGCCCCCCGUGAGAAACGCGUGGGGUGCUCUCCCAAGAGCUGACACGUGUACACGCGUGCAAAACCCAGCCCUGGGACUGAGGGGCUCUAGGCCCUGACAGAGGAGCACAGGAGGCCUGUUCCAUUUCAGUACAAUGGGUUCCGUGACUGACCAGGGCUGGGCUCAGUCCUACACCAGACUGACAGCUUCCUCACCCUCCCACGCUUGGGUUUGAAGACAUGUCCACAGGAAGACGCACCAUCAGCGAACGGCUGCUGUUAGGAGAAACAGGAACAGCACCGACCACACGGCGAGCGCGGGACACGGCCAACGCGGCGAGCACAAAAACACAAGAGUGGAGCCU
Piliocolobus tephrosceles (Ugandan red Colobus) is the source of this 783-nucleotide long non-coding RNA. RefSeq lists it as uncharacterized. The record is from RefSeq and is a predicted model, not a curated record. The transcript has 3 exons. NCBI's taxonomy places the organism in Eukaryota, Metazoa, Chordata, Mammalia, Primates, Cercopithecidae.